Molecule: ribosomal RNA, 447 nt
Filed under: uncultured bacterium
Lineage: Bacteria
Description: bacterial SSU rRNA
Rfam family: Bacterial small subunit ribosomal RNA
Source: RNAcentral
CCAGACUCCUACGGGAGGCAGCAGUGGGGAAUAUUGCACAAUGGGGGAAACCCUGAUGCAGCGACGCCGCGUGAGCGAUGAAGUAUUUCGGUAUGUAAAGCUCUAUCAGCAGGGAAGAAAAUGACGGUACCUGACUAAGAAGCCCCGGCUGACUACGUGCCAGCAGCCGCGGUAAUACGUAGGGGGCAAGCGUUAUCCGGAUUUACUGGGUGUAAAGGGAGCGUAGACGGCCGUUCAGGCCAGAUGUGAAAGCCCGGGGCUCAACCCCGGGACUGCAUUUGGAACUGUGGGGCUAGAGUGUCGGAGAGGCAGGCGGAAUUCCUAGUGUAGCGGUGAAAUGCGUAGAUAUUAGGAGGAACACCAGUGGCGAAGGCGGCCUGCUGGACGAUGACUGACGUUGAGGCUCGAAAGCGUGGGGAGCAAACAGGAUUAGAUACCCCAGUAAAA